Molecule: ribosomal RNA, 253 nt
Filed under: uncultured bacterium
Lineage: Bacteria
Description: partial 16S ribosomal RNA
Rfam family: Bacterial small subunit ribosomal RNA
Source: RNAcentral
UACGAAGGGGGCUAGCGUUGUUCGGAAUUACUGGGCGUAAAGGGCGCGUAGGCGGUACUUCAAGUCAGGCGUGAAAGCCCCGGGCUCAACCUGGGAACCGCGCUUGAGACUGGAGAACUAGAGUUCGGGAGAGGAUGGUGGAAUUCCCAGUGUAGAGGUGAAAUUCGUAGAUAUUGGGAAGAACACCGAUGGCGAAGGCGGCCAUCUGGACCGACACUGACGCUGAGGCGCGAAAGCGUGGGGAGCAAACAGG